RNAcentral lists this ribosomal RNA (466 nucleotides) under uncultured bacterium. RNAcentral's name for it is "partial 16S ribosomal RNA". It matches the Rfam family "Bacterial small subunit ribosomal RNA", at positions 27 to 507 of the family's 1533-position model. The record is from RNAcentral.
GGAUGAACGCUGGCGGCGUGCUUAACCCAUGCACGUCGAACGGAAAGGCCCAAGCUUGCUUGGGUACUCGAGUGGCGAACGGGUGAGUAACACGUGGGUGAUCUGCCCUGCACUUCGGGAUAAGCCUGGGAAACUGGGUCUAAUACCGGAUAGGACCACAUUUUGGAUGGUGUGGUGGAAAGUUUUUCGGUGUGGGAUGAGCUCGCGGCCUAUCAGCUUGUUGGUGGGGUAAUGGCCUACCAAGGCGUCGACGGGUAGCCGGCCUGAGAGGGUGUACGGCCACAUUGGGACUGAGAUACGGCCCAGACUCCUACGGGAGGCAGCAGUGGGGAAUAUUGCACAAUGGGCGCAAGCCUGAUGCAGCGACGCCGCGUGGGGGAUGACGGCCUUCGGGUUGUAAACUCCUUUCGCUAGGGACGAAGCGCAAGUGACGGUACCUGGAGAAGAAGCACCGGCUAACUACGUG